UACGUAGGGUGCAAGCGUUAAUCGGAAUUACUGGGCGUAAAGCGUGCGCAGGCGGCUUUGCAAGACAGAUGUGAAAUCCCCGGGCUCAACCUGGGAACUGCAUUUGUGACUGCAAGGCUGGAGUACGGCAGAGGGGGAUGGAAUUCCGCGUGUAGCAAGUGAAAUGCGUAGAUAUGCGGAGGAACACCGAUGGCGAAGGCAAUCCCCUGGGCCUGUACUGACGCUCAUGCACGAAAGCGUGGGGAGCAAACAGG
This 254-nucleotide ribosomal RNA is filed under the name uncultured bacterium. RNAcentral's name for it is "partial 16S ribosomal RNA". It matches the Rfam family "Bacterial small subunit ribosomal RNA", at positions 524 to 776 of the family's 1533-position model. The record is from RNAcentral.